UUUCUCCAGUGUUCAGCCUUACCCCCUGUUAAAGCCUGGGAACAAAUCAUUGUGAACCCACCAGUGUUAACUGGAAGAGAGCAUGAAAGCUUAUUCCGUAAGGAACUGUUUGGGAAAU
Molecule: small nucleolar RNA, 118 nt
Organism: Callithrix jacchus (white-tufted-ear marmoset)
Lineage: Eukaryota; Metazoa; Chordata; Mammalia; Primates; Cebidae
Gene: SNORD22
Rfam family: Small nucleolar RNA SNORD22
About the family: U22 is a member of the C/D class of snoRNA which contain the C (UGAUGA) and D (CUGA) box motifs. U22 is encoded within the U22 snoRNA host gene (UHG) in mammals and has also been identified in Xenopus.
Source: Ensembl